GAUGAACGCUGGCGGCGUGCCUAAUACAUGCAAGUCGAGCGAACAGACGAGGAGCUUGCUCCUCUGACGUUAGCGGCGGACGGGUGUGUCACACGUGGAUACCCUCCCUAUCUGACUGAGAUAAUUUCGGAACUCCGGCGAUUAUCCCGGAUAAUAUCUUGAACCGCAUGGUUCAAUAGUGAAAGACGGUUUUGCUGUAACUAAUCGCUGGUUCUGGGCGGCAUUAGCUAGUUGGUAGGGUAACGGCUUAUCACGGCAACGAUGCGUAGCCGACCUGAUAGGGGGAUAGGCCACACUGGAACUGAGACACGGUCCAGACGCCUACGAGAGGCAGCAGAAGGGAAUCUGCCGCAAUGGGCGGAAGCUUUGCGGAGCAACGCCGCGUGAGUGAUGAAGGUGUUCGGAUCGGAAAACUCUGUUAUGAGGGAAGAACAAAUGUGGAAGGAACUGUGCACGGCGUGACGGUACCUAAUCAGAAAGCCACGGCUAACUACGUG
RNAcentral lists this ribosomal RNA (497 nucleotides) under uncultured bacterium. Its description in RNAcentral is "partial 16S ribosomal RNA". It matches the Rfam family "Bacterial small subunit ribosomal RNA", at positions 28 to 507 of the family's 1533-position model. The record is from RNAcentral.